Long non-coding RNA from Eptesicus fuscus (big brown bat), 304 nucleotides. RefSeq lists it as uncharacterized. The record is from RefSeq and is a predicted model, not a curated record. NCBI's taxonomy places the organism in Eukaryota, Metazoa, Chordata, Mammalia, Chiroptera, Vespertilionidae. The transcript has 3 exons.
GCUCCCCGCCACCCCUGCCGCCCGCGGGCCACCGGGCCGGGGUCGACGCCCGGGCUCGGUCAGUCGGUACCUUCAUGAAGGUCUCUACCGCGCCUUUGGCCGUGUCCAGCCUCUCCCCAGCUUCCACAAAUAUGCAUCUCUACCUGCACCACAGUCUCGGGUAUACUCUGCCCUUCCCGGCUGUGGAUUGUCUGACCAGCUGUGUCUAAUUCACCAAUUCCAGAUGGAUGCUCUCUGAUUUAGUUGCUUCUUCUAUCUGCUCUGGGACAAGGUGCAGGACACGCUCACCAUUUUCCUUAAUUGC